CUGAACGAAACGAAGCGCUGAGAGUCUGCGAAAAUCGUUUAAAUAGUCCAUCAACGUCGCUACCUGGCGGCCAGACAUCGAACGAGGAAAAGUCUGGCCGGAAGCCAGUGGUCCCGGACGUUGCAAAAGGGAGGUUAGGUCGGGCCGAACAAACGAUAAAAGAAGUCAUCUUUGUCGCCAUUUUUGUUCUUCGAUCUCGGUACCGAAAGUGUUCCGCUAGCAAAGCUCUGACGUAAAAUUUAUUAAAUCUAUCUUCGAAAAAUGACAUUGUAAUUUUGACGAUUGCAGUGUAAACAUGUUAAGUUUCGCGGAAGUAUAUCAUUAUAAAUUAUGAAUACAUCUGUAGGAAAUUAAAUGAAAGAUUAAAAAAUAA
Molecule: long non-coding RNA, 373 nt
Organism: Vespa crabro (European hornet)
Lineage: Eukaryota; Metazoa; Arthropoda; Insecta; Hymenoptera; Vespidae
Exons: 2
Source: RefSeq, a predicted model, not a curated record